GUUCCUGGGAAGGUCUGGCUGCUUCCCCACCACGAGCUGAGCUGGGACAAGUGGCUUCACACCACUGGGUCUCGCAGCCUGUUCCUUCCUUCACUCCGCGGUGCUCUGCGGGAGAGCACGACAUUUCCCUGAAAAGAGGAGGGCUCUCUCCCGUGGCAUCCCUGAUUCCUCUCAAUGGCCCUUGGUGAACUAGGACAUGCUUCUUG
This 206-nucleotide long non-coding RNA is filed under the name Ictidomys tridecemlineatus (thirteen-lined ground squirrel). Its description in RNAcentral is "lncRNA (ENSSTOG00000034783.1)". Lineage: Eukaryota; Metazoa; Chordata; Mammalia; Rodentia; Sciuridae. The record is from RNAcentral.